GGCAGUAAAGCUCAGUGGUAGAGUGCUUGCCUCACAUCUACAAGGCCCUGGGUUCGAUCCCUAGCACUCCCG
This 72-nucleotide transfer RNA is filed under the name Heterocephalus glaber (naked mole-rat). It matches the Rfam family "tRNA". Rfam says of the family: Transfer RNA (tRNA) molecules are approximately 80 nucleotides in length. Lineage: Eukaryota; Metazoa; Chordata; Mammalia; Rodentia; Bathyergidae. The record is from Rfam by way of RNAcentral.